ACUGCGCUUCCGCCGCACAGAGCCUGACGAAGGCUUGGGCUCCCCGCGCGGUGACCGUCGAGGUGACCUGCACCUGGCUCCAUGGCGGAACCGGCUGGCACGGAUUAUUCCCCUCUCGGGAGAGGUCUGCAGCCGGGCUUCAGUGCUUCAGUUCGUGGCCUGGCAUUUUGUGAAGAGUGUCUUCAUCUCUGCAUCCCUAGUGCAACAGAGCAUGAUAAAAAUUCAAUAAAUAUUUAUUGAAGAGUCUUGUUGUCUUUUGGGAAAGGAACUCUAUGGUUACCUUUACUCUAAGGCAUUGUGAAGACCCUGUUUCUCUAGCUGUGCAGCCGCAAGGUCACUAGGCAGAUAAACUCAAGCCAUAAAACAUGUUUUUCCUUGAAAAAUUAGAUGGGUGUUACUGAUUCUUACCUCAGAGAAGAGAAUGUCAUGGAGACAAAAUGAUCUGCUUAGAGUUCUGCACCCCCCAGCAUGGAGAGCAGAGCGCAAAGAUUUCUUCCGGACUCUCACAUUCCCCUUGGAAUCCAAGAACUGGUCUACUGUCACAACACUUUAGUACCCUCUUCUCCCAAGGAGGCAGCAGAAACUGGGGUAAUCACAACGGUCAACAGCAGCAAAGGCAGCACUUUCUG
This 629-nucleotide non-coding RNA is filed under the name Pan troglodytes (chimpanzee). The record is from RNAcentral. Lineage: Eukaryota; Metazoa; Chordata; Mammalia; Primates; Hominidae.